Molecule: ribosomal RNA, 497 nt
Filed under: uncultured bacterium
Lineage: Bacteria
Description: partial 16S ribosomal RNA
Rfam family: Bacterial small subunit ribosomal RNA
Source: RNAcentral
GAUGAACGCUGGCGGCGUGCCUAAUACAUGCAAGUCGAGCGAACAGACGAGGAGCUUGCUCCUCUGACGUUAGCGGCGGACGGGUGAGUAACACGUGGAUAACCUACCUAUAAGACUGGGAUAACUUCGGGAAACCGGAGCUAAUACCGGAUAAUAUAUUGAACCGCAUGGUUCGAUAGUGAAAGACGGUUUUGCUGUCACUUAUAGAUGGAUCCGCGCCGCAUUAGCUAGUUGGUAAGGUAACGGCUUACCAAGGCAACGAUGCGUAGCCGACCUGAGAGGGUGAUCGGCCACACUGGAACUGAGACACGGUCCAGACUCCUACGGGAGGCAGCAGUAGGGAAUCUUCCGCAAUGGGCGAAAGCCUGACGGAGCAACGCCGCGUGAGUGAUGAAGGUCUUCGGAUCGUAAAACUCUGUUAUUAGGGAAGAACAAAUGUGUAAGUAACUAUGCACGUCUUGACGGUACCUAAUCAGAAAGCCACGGCUAACUACGUA